GCGGGAGUAGCUCAGCUGGUAGAGCGUCAGCCUUCCAAGCUGAGGGUCGCGAGUUCGAAUCUCGUCUCCCGCU
Molecule: transfer RNA, 73 nt
Filed under: Crocinitomicaceae bacterium
Lineage: Bacteria; Pseudomonadati; Bacteroidota; Flavobacteriia; Flavobacteriales; Crocinitomicaceae
Also listed under: 1 other name
Description: tRNA-Gly
Rfam family: tRNA
About the family: Transfer RNA (tRNA) molecules are approximately 80 nucleotides in length.
Source: RNAcentral